UACGUAGGUGGCAAGCGUUGUCCGGAUUUACUGGGCGUAAAGAGCGCGCAGGCGGUCGUUCAAGUCGCGUGUGAAAGCCCCCGGCUCAACUGGGGAGGGUCACGCGAUACUGAUCGACUCGAAGGCAGGAGAGGGAAGUGGAAUUCCCGGUGUAGUGGUGAAAUGCGUAGAUAGUCGGGAGGAACACCAGUGGCGAAGGCGGACUUCUGUGCCUGUCUU
This 219-nucleotide ribosomal RNA is filed under the name uncultured bacterium. RNAcentral's name for it is "partial 16S ribosomal RNA". It matches the Rfam family "Bacterial small subunit ribosomal RNA", at positions 524 to 741 of the family's 1533-position model. The record is from RNAcentral.